RNAcentral lists this unclassified non-coding RNA (262 nucleotides) under Hevea brasiliensis (rubber tree). The record is from RNAcentral. Lineage: Eukaryota; Viridiplantae; Streptophyta; Magnoliopsida; Malpighiales; Euphorbiaceae.
GAACAAUCUAGGCUAAACGUACCAGCUGUGAAUUCUUCCGAUUCUGCUAAUGCUUCUGCGUCUCGUAAUGUACAGAAUGGUGCCCAUGCACAGCUUCCAUUACACGGAGCAUCUGUUGCACCUGUUUCAAUUGGUACUGUCAAGCCAAAUGAAACGCCCAUCACUCAGAGAAGUAGCCGAGCUGUUCCUAAGGCUCCAACUUCUCAAUCAGCCACCUUGAGUUCUGAUACUGCAUCACCUAUGACGCCUGCUAAAGCCCCUG